UGAGGACCCAAUUAAAUGAGAUUGUGGAGUCCCCGCAUCAGCUCCCAACCUUCUUACAUAGAACCCCCAAAUCUCACCGGACUGUGGAAGCAAGGGCUUCAACAACGCUCAUUAGUCUCUCCAUCCCUUUCGCGCGCUUCAGCCUCGCCUCUCCAUCUCUUUCGCGCUUCAGCCUCAUCUCUUCACUCUCGAUCAAGCUUCAUCCUCCUUGAACUGCUCAUCCAGAUAUGGAUCGAAGGCAAAUUAUGUUGCUCUUAUUGGUGGAGUUGUGGCACCUAGAGACAAUGUGUGCUUGUACUAUGCUUGUGCUACUGAUGUUUAAUUUGAGACGAAGACGUGCUGAAAGACAUGCUCUAAAUAAUCGUUCAUUCGUUAGACGUGAGACUCGUUUGAGUUAUCUAGAUAGUAUUAUAGGUAAUAGUGACACUGAAUGUGUACACGAAUUAAGAAUGGAUAGAAGGGCUUUUGGCCUUUUGUGUGAACUGCUUCGCACAGAUGGAAAGAUAAAGAGUGAUGGUUUGGUGUCUGUGGAAGAGCAAGUAUGUAUGUUUUUACAUAUACUUUCACAUCAUGUGAAGAAUCGUACUAUUAGAGGUAGAUUUUUUCGAUCUGGAGAGACUAUUAGUAGGUAUUUCCAUUCUAUACUACAAGGUGUUUUACGAUUGCAAGGUAGUUUGUUGAGGGUACCUGAUCCGGUACUUGCUGACUGCACAGAUCGUAGAUGGAAGUGCUUUAAGAAUUGCUUGGGGGCACUAGAUGGAACUUACAUUAGAGUGCGUGUACCUGCAAUUGACAAGCCAAGAUACCGUACAAGAAAGGGUGAAGUUGCUACAAAUGUGUUAGCUGCUUGUUCUCGUGAUAUGCAGUUCAUAUUUGUCUUACCGGGUUGGGAGGGAUCGGCAUCGGACUCUAGAGUUCUUCACGAUGCAGUGACUAGGCCGAAUGGAUUAAGAGUUCCCACUGGUUAUUAUUACCUUGUAGAUGGGGGUUACACAAAUGGUGAAGGAUUUCUUGCACCAUAUAGAGGAACAAGGUAUCAUUUAUCAGAAUGGGAUGAAAGAAAUAUGCCUAGGGAUCAUGUGGAAUAUUUUAACAUGAAGCAUUCGAAGGCAAGAAAUGUCAUAGAACGGUGUUUUGGAAUGCUAAAAGGAAGGUGGGGAAUACUAAGGAGUCCAUCAUUUUAUCCAAUAAAGACACAAUGCCGCAUAAUUACGGUUUGUUGUCUUUUACAUAAUUUUAUUAGAAGAGAAAUGUCCAUUGAUCCGAUGGAGUAUGCAGUAUGUGAAUUAGAUGCUCAAAAUGGGGAAGAAGUUGAUGUAGUUGGCACGGUUGAAGCGUCUAAUCAAUGGACUACUUGGAGGAAUGAAUUAGCUUCACAAAUGCAUAAUGAAUGGACGGGAAGAAGGGUUGUAAGGGCUGCCGGAGAUACAGGGGUUUCAGGUGCUGCUGCAAGGGCUGCAAGGGAUGCAAGAGCUGCAAGGGAUGCAAGGGAUGCAAGGGCUGCAAGGGAUGCAAGAGCUUCAAGAGAAUAAAUCAUUGACGGAAUGCUUUAAAUACAUCUAAUAAGUACUAAGGAUCAUUAUUUAUAUAGUUUUUGAUUUGUUGUGAACACUAAUGCAUUUUAAUUCUUAGGAGUGUUUUUCUACUAAGUACUAAGGAUCAAUUCCAGUUGCUUCAACCAUCUGUUGAGUGUUUUUCUACUUGAGAAUAAACAUGGGUUUGUUUAUUGAGUUUCUUUUGUAAAUCUACUCUCGUGAUAUGUAGCUUGGUGAUGUUAUUGUUAUCUUCUGUAAAGAGAGAAACAAUCUGCGUGUUCAAUUGUUUGGGAAUCUACUAUGCUGCAUAAUGGGGAGUGAUUGCAUUUCUAUAUUGUGGAUUGUUCGAAUGGAUGCAGUGCAACCACUCUUUUUGCACUUUCUCCUUUUUGCUGUCUCCUUCUUUUCCCUCUUUUCCGUUUUACUUCCCUCUUUUUCCUCUUUUGUUUUUCUCCUUUCUCCUUUUUGCUGUCUCCUUCUUUUCCCUCUUUUCCGUUUUGCUUCCCUCUUUUUCCUCUUUUGCUUUUCUCCUUUCUCCUUUUGCUGUCUCCCUUUUACCUUUUGUUGUCUUCCUUUUCCCUUUCCUCUAUAUGUUUUUUCUACGCAUAUUAAUUGCUUUACAAUAACAGAUGCUACUGUGAAAACUUGCUCCAAAAAACUUCUUCUGGUUGUUUUCAUUGAUUUUGGAUGUUACUGUGAAAUCUUAGAUAUGGAUCGAAGGCAAAUUAUGUUGCUCUUAUUGGUGGAGCAAGACGGGGAGCCUAGAGACAAUGUGUGCUUGUACUAUGCUUUACAAUAAUAGAUGCUACUCUAAGCUUUGAGUCUAUAUGCGUAUGAGUGUAUUAUUUGAGUCUAUAUGCGUAUGAGAUAUAGCUUUUCUGUAGAAAAUGGAAAGUGGUGAUGAAAAUACAGAGCAAGGGAAGUCAAGACGUGUAUGGACCAGCUUUGAAGAAGAGUCUUUGUUGAAUGUUCUUGACGGAAUUAUUGCUGGAGGACAACGCUGCGACACUGGUAGUUUCAAAUCUGGUACUUUAAUCAAAAUAGAGAAUGCUUUAAAUCUUUUAUGUCCCAAUUCCAAUCUGAAGGCAAGUCCACAUAUUGAGUCAAAGUUGAAGAAACUUAAGAAAGAUUAUAGCAUAAUCUAUGACAUGAUGAACAAGAGUGGAUUUGCAUGGAAUGAUAUCAAAAAGUGCAUUGAAGUUGAUAGUAAUGAAGUAUGGGAAACGUAUUUGCAGCACAACAAAAAGGCAAAGGGAUGGAGAAACAAGAAGUAUCCAUUAUUUGAUAGACUAGCUACCAUCUUUGGGAGUGACCGUGCUACUGGAAAUGGGGCUGAGGUCCCUGCUGAUAUGAUGGAGGAGCAGAGCAACAAUGAAGAUGAUAUAGGCAUUGGGAAUGACACAAGCCCCAUGUCAAUGAGGCAAGAUAGCACUGGACAAUCUCAGGUCAGUCAGAAAAAGAGGAAAAGAAAUGAUGAAGAUAAAAUUAUGCUUGCAUUGGAUAAAUUGUUUGAAGAAUCUGGAAAAAGAAUGCAAGCAGUGACUGAUGCCAUAGUGAAAGGUAAUGAAGAUCGAUCUGAUAUUGCUAAGGAACUUAAGAAAAUGGGACUUUCUGUUCUAGACCAAAUUGAGGCAUUGAAAAUCAUUUUGGAUAAGCCCCAAAACAUAUCUGUGUUCAUGUCCUUAGAUGAUGAAGUGAGGAAAGUGUAUGUCGAGAACUUGCUUGCGGGCACUGCUAGAGGAUCUACCUAGCUGCUGUUGCAAGAUAUGUUCUUUUUUUUGUUUGGACAACUACAACAGUUGCUGCCUUAACACAUGUUGGACAAGUUCCUUCUUUUGCUAGAUUAACAUUCAUUUUUGUAAUUGCUAGAUGGAACAUUAUUAGCAUGUGGAAUGUUAAAUCAGUGUAUCACUGUGUUGUAUUAAUAGGUGGACUUGUUGAUGUGUAAAAACUAACUACAAAGUAUGUAGAUUGUGGUUGCUCUUCUCAAUCUAUGAUUAUUUUGCUGUAUGUGAACUUUGCUGCAAAUUACCAACUUUUAGUCCAAUACACUAACAAACAUGGGAUAUGACUAUUUUCACUAUUCUGCUCUUUAGUCCUAAGCAGUACCAAACAUGGGUCAUGUAUUAACAUAGCAUAUCCCAGGCUAGAAGAGUCCUGGACUAUUAUAUGAAAUAAGCUUGGGGAUAAUAGUCCCAUGUAACAAACAUAGCCUUGGCUAUGUUUGUUACGUGGGAUUGGACUGGAUUGGAGUAGCUUAUUUUAUUAAGUAAGACUUAUCCCAUGUUUGGCACACAUGAGGACCCAAUUAAAUGAGAUUGUGGAGUCCCCGCAUCAGCUCCCAACCUUCUUACAUAGAACCCCCAAAUCUCACCGGACUGUGGAAGCAAGGGCUUCAACAACGCUCAUUAGUCUCUCCAUCCCUUUCGCGCGCUUCAGCCUCGCCUCUCCAUCUCUUUCGCGCUUCAGCCUCAUCUCUUCACUCUCGAUCAAGCUUCAUCCUCCUUGAACUGCUCAUCCAGAUAUGGAUCGAAGGCAAAUUAUGUUGCUCUUAUUGGUGGAGUUGUGGCACCUAGAGACAAUGUGUGCUUGUACUAUGCUUGUGCUACUGAUGUUUAAUUUGAGACGAAGACGUGCUGAAAGACAUGCUCUAAAUAAUCGUUCAUUCGUUAGACGUGAGACUCGUUUGAGUUAUCUAGAUAGUAUUAUAGGUAAUAGUGACACUGAAUGUGUACACGAAUUAAGAAUGGAUAGAAGGGCUUUUGGCCUUUUGUGUGAACUGCUUCGCACAGAUGGAAAGAUAAAGAGUGAUGGUUUGGUGUCUGUGGAAGAGCAAGUAUGUAUGUUUUUACAUAUACUUUCACAUCAUGUGAAGAAUCGUACUAUUAGAGGUAGAUUUUUUCGAUCUGGAGAGACUAUUAGUAGGUAUUUCCAUUCUAUACUACAAGGUGUUUUACGAUUGCAAGGUAGUUUGUUGAGGGUACCUGAUCCGGUACUUGCUGACUGCACAGAUCGUAGAUGGAAGUGCUUUAAGAAUUGCUUGGGGGCACUAGAUGGAACUUACAUUAGAGUGCGUGUACCUGCAAUUGACAAGCCAAGAUACCGUACAAGAAAGGGUGAAGUUGCUACAAAUGUGUUAGCUGCUUGUUCUCGUGAUAUGCAGUUCAUAUUUGUCUUACCGGGUUGGGAGGGAUCGGCAUCGGACUCUAGAGUUCUUCACGAUGCAGUGACUAGGCCGAAUGGAUUAAGAGUUCCCACUGGUUAUUAUUACCUUGUAGAUGGGGGUUACACAAAUGGUGAAGGAUUUCUUGCACCAUAUAGAGGAACAAGGUAUCAUUUAUCAGAAUGGGAUGAAAGAAAUAUGCCUAGGGAUCAUGUGGAAUAUUUUAACAUGAAGCAUUCGAAGGCAAGAAAUGUCAUAGAACGGUGUUUUGGAAUGCUAAAAGGAAGGUGGGGAAUACUAAGGAGUCCAUCAUUUUAUCCAAUAAAGACACAAUGCCGCAUAAUUACGGUUUGUUGUCUUUUACAUAAUUUUAUUAGAAGAGAAAUGUCCAUUGAUCCGAUGGAGUAUGCAGUAUGUGAAUUAGAUGCUCAAAAUGGGGAAGAAGUUGAUGUAGUUGGCACGGUUGAAGCGUCUAAUCAAUGGACUACUUGGAGGAAUGAAUUAGCUUCACAAAUGCAUAAUGAAUGGACGGGAAGAAGGGUUGUAAGGGCUGCCGGAGAUACAGGGGUUUCAGGUGCUGCUGCAAGGGCUGCAAGGGAUGCAAGAGCUGCAAGGGAUGCAAGGGAUGCAAGGGCUGCAAGGGAUGCAAGAGCUUCAAGAGAAUAAAUCAUUGACGGAAUGCUUUAAAUACAUCUAAUAAGUACUAAGGAUCAUUAUUUAUAUAGUUUUUGAUUUGUUGUGAACACUAAUGCAUUUUAAUUCUUAGGAGUGUUUUUCUACUAAGUACUAAGGAUCAAUUCCAGUUGCUUCAACCAUCUGUUGAGUGUUUUUCUACUUGAGAAUAAACAUGGGUUUGUUUAUUGAGUUUCUUUUGUAAAUCUACUCUCGUGAUAUGUAGCUUGGUGAUGUUAUUGUUAUCUUCUGUAAAGAGAGAAACAAUCUGCGUGUUCAAUUGUUUGGGAAUCUACUAUGCUGCAUAAUGGGGAGUGAUUGCAUUUCUAUAUUGUGGAUUGUUCGAAUGGAUGCAGUGCAACCACUCUUUUUGCACUUUCUCCUUUUUGCUGUCUCCUUCUUUUCCCUCUUUUCCGUUUUACUUCCCUCUUUUUCCUCUUUUGUUUUUCUCCUUUCUCCUUUUUGCUGUCUCCUUCUUUUCCCUCUUUUCCGUUUUGCUUCCCUCUUUUUCCUCUUUUGCUUUUCUCCUUUCUCCUUUUGCUGUCUCCCUUUUACCUUUUGUUGUCUUCCUUUUCCCUUUCCUCUAUAUGUUUUUUCUACGCAUAUUAAUUGCUUUACAAUAACAGAUGCUACUGUGAAAACUUGCUCCAAAAAACUUCUUCUGGUUGUUUUCAUUGAUUUUGGAUGUUACUGUGAAAUCUUAGAUAUGGAUCGAAGGCAAAUUAUGUUGCUCUUAUUGGUGGAGCAAGACGGGGAGCCUAGAGACAAUGUGUGCUUGUACUAUGCUUUACAAUAAUAGAUGCUACUCUAAGCUUUGAGUCUAUAUGCGUAUGAGUGUAUUAUUUGAGUCUAUAUGCGUAUGAGAUAUAGCUUUUCUGUAGAAAAUGGAAAGUGGUGAUGAAAAUACAGAGCAAGGGAAGUCAAGACGUGUAUGGACCAGCUUUGAAGAAGAGUCUUUGUUGAAUGUUCUUGACGGAAUUAUUGCUGGAGGACAACGCUGCGACACUGGUAGUUUCAAAUCUGGUACUUUAAUCAAAAUAGAGAAUGCUUUAAAUCUUUUAUGUCCCAAUUCCAAUCUGAAGGCAAGUCCACAUAUUGAGUCAAAGUUGAAGAAACUUAAGAAAGAUUAUAGCAUAAUCUAUGACAUGAUGAACAAGAGUGGAUUUGCAUGGAAUGAUAUCAAAAAGUGCAUUGAAGUUGAUAGUAAUGAAGUAUGGGAAACGUAUUUGCAGCACAACAAAAAGGCAAAGGGAUGGAGAAACAAGAAGUAUCCAUUAUUUGAUAGACUAGCUACCAUCUUUGGGAGUGACCGUGCUACUGGAAAUGGGGCUGAGGUCCCUGCUGAUAUGAUGGAGGAGCAGAGCAACAAUGAAGAUGAUAUAGGCAUUGGGAAUGACACAAGCCCCAUGUCAAUGAGGCAAGAUAGCACUGGACAAUCUCAGGUCAGUCAGAAAAAGAGGAAAAGAAAUGAUGAAGAUAAAAUUAUGCUUGCAUUGGAUAAAUUGUUUGAAGAAUCUGGAAAAAGAAUGCAAGCAGUGACUGAUGCCAUAGUGAAAGGUAAUGAAGAUCGAUCUGAUAUUGCUAAGGAACUUAAGAAAAUGGGACUUUCUGUUCUAGACCAAAUUGAGGCAUUGAAAAUCAUUUUGGAUAAGCCCCAAAACAUAUCUGUGUUCAUGUCCUUAGAUGAUGAAGUGAGGAAAGUGUAUGUCGAGAACUUGCUUGCGGGCACUGCUAGAGGAUCUACCUAGCUGCUGUUGCAAGAUAUGUUCUUUUUUUUGUUUGGACAACUACAACAGUUGCUGCCUUAACACAUGUUGGACAAGUUCCUUCUUUUGCUAGAUUAACAUUCAUUUUUGUAAUUGCUAGAUGGAACAUUAUUAGCAUGUGGAAUGUUAAAUCAGUGUAUCACUGUGUUGUAUUAAUAGGUGGACUUGUUGAUGUGUAAAAACUAACUACAAAGUAUGUAGAUUGUGGUUGCUCUUCUCAAUCUAUGAUUAUUUUGCUGUA
Molecule: RNA transcript, 7377 nt
Organism: Rosa rugosa (rugosa rose)
Lineage: Eukaryota; Viridiplantae; Streptophyta; Magnoliopsida; Rosales; Rosaceae
Exons: 11
Source: RefSeq, a predicted model, not a curated record